This is a long non-coding RNA of Varanus komodoensis (Komodo dragon), 154 nucleotides long. RefSeq lists it as uncharacterized. Lineage: Eukaryota; Metazoa; Chordata; Lepidosauria; Squamata; Varanidae. The transcript has 3 exons. The record is from RefSeq and is a predicted model, not a curated record.
GACUAGAUGGAGUCCCUGAAGCAGUUGGCGUGAGCCUAAGUGGAUUCCAGGGGAUGGUGGAGGACAGGAAGGCCUGGAGGAAUGUUGUCCAUGGGGUCGCGAUGGGUCGGAUACGAUUUCACGACUAACAACCACAAGCACUAUGCUGGUAUGU